This is a non-coding RNA of Paramuricea clavata, 146 nucleotides long. Lineage: Eukaryota; Metazoa; Cnidaria; Anthozoa; Malacalcyonacea; Plexauridae. The record is from the annotation of a GenBank genome assembly.
AAGGUUCACGGACGGUAAAUUUUAAAUUUAAAUCUCGCGCCUUUUUGGAUAAAGCGGUACGACCUUGCGAGACGUCACUUGAUUGAAUUACGCUUUAUCCAAUUAGGCGCGCGAUUUAAAUUUAAAAUUUACCGUCCGUGAACCUU